CCAAUAGCGUAUAUUAAAGUUGUUGCAGUUAAAAAGCUCGUAGUUGAAUUUCGGGAUCAAUUUGCUGGUCGUGCCUUCGGUACGCACUGGUAUUAUUGGUUUCUCCUUUCUGAUGAAUCGCGAUGUCAUUAAUUUGGUGUCGUGGGGAAUCAGGACCGUUACUUUGAAAAAAUUAGAGUGUUUAAAGCAGGCUCACGCUUGAAUACAUUAGCAUGGAAUAAUGAAAUAGGACGUUUGAUUCUAUUUUGUUGGUUUCUAGGAUCGACGUAAUGAUUAAUAGGGAUAGUUGGGGGCAUUAGUAUUCAAUUGUCAGAGGUGAAAUUCUUGGAUUUAUUGAAGACUAACUACUGCGAAAGCAUUUGCCAAGGAUGUUUUCAUUAAUCAAGAACGAAAGUUAGGGGAUCGAAGACGAUCAGAUACCGUCGUAGUCUUAACCAUAAACUAUGCCGACUAGGGAUCGGAUGAUGUUAAUUUUUUAAUGACUCAUUCGGCGCCUUACG
Molecule: ribosomal RNA, 500 nt
Filed under: uncultured Glomus
Lineage: Eukaryota; Fungi; Glomeromycota; Glomeromycetes; Glomerales; Glomeraceae
Also listed under: 1 other name
Description: SSU rRNA
Rfam family: Eukaryotic small subunit ribosomal RNA
Source: RNAcentral